Molecule: ribosomal RNA, 468 nt
Filed under: uncultured bacterium
Lineage: Bacteria
Description: partial 16S ribosomal RNA
Rfam family: Bacterial small subunit ribosomal RNA
Source: RNAcentral
GACGAACGCUGGCGGCGUGCUUAACACAUGCAAGUCGAACGGAAAGGCCCUGCUUUUGUGGGGUGCUCGAGUGGCGAACGGGUGAGUAACACGUGAGUAACCUGCCCUUGACUUUGGGAUAACUUCAGGAAGCUGGGGCUAAUACCGGAUAGGAGCUCCUGCUGCAUGGUGGGGGUUGGAAAGUUUCGGCGGUUGGGGAUGGACUCGCGGCUUAUCAGCUUGUUGGUGGGGUAGUGGCUUACCAAGGCUUUGACGGGUAGCCGGCCUGAGAGGGUGACCGGCCACAUUGGGACUGAGAUACGGCCCAGACUCCUACGGGAGGCAGCAGUGGGGAAUAUUGCACAAUGGGCGGAAGCCUGAUGCAGCAACGCCGCGUGCGGGAUGACGGCCUUCGGGUUGUAAACCACUUUCGCCUGUGACGAAGCGUGAGUGACGGUAAUGGGUAAAGAAGCACCGGCUAACUACGUG